RNAcentral lists this long non-coding RNA (7747 nucleotides) under Lactuca sativa (garden lettuce). Its description in RNAcentral is "long non-coding RNA (LSAT_LNC000793)". Lineage: Eukaryota; Viridiplantae; Streptophyta; Magnoliopsida; Asterales; Asteraceae. The record is from RNAcentral.
CAUAGAGUUAUAGCCUCGAGUGGCUUAUAUGUGUUAUGUGUGUGGUAUUUUGGGGAACUCACUAAGCUUCGUGCUUACAGUGUUUUGUGUUAUGUUGUUUUCAGGUUUCUUUCAGUAUCACGGUACGGCACCGGCUUGAUUGUACACACCAGAGCAAGAGUCAUAUUUUGGAGGAUCCUGGUUUUCUAUGCAAGUGAAAAUGGAGCUAUGUUUUGUAAUUUGAUUAUGAAUGAGAUUUUUAACAAGUGUUCUAAGAAUAAAAUGAUUAUUUAAAAUGAAAAUUUUGUCUUGAAAUUUACGGUGUUACAAGUUGGUAUCAGAGCCUUGGUUUGAGGGAUUCGGAUGCGCCUUCGGGUAAUUCUGGACUCAAACUGAGGAAGUAAGAAAAGUUUUCAAAGAAAUAAUUUUCUAAAGCGAAUAAGAGUUCAAAGAGAAAGCGAGAAAGAGCAGUGUGUACAAUCAGCCAGAGCCCGAACGGUGAUUUCCCAAAAUACCCUUACUUUUGUGUUAUGAGAUAUUUAUGAUGCACUUUAUGAGAUAUUAUUGCAUGCUAGAGACAGGCUAGGUAUUCCAUAUAUUAGGAGUAGAGUGGCCUGAUUUGUGAUGCCUUAGCCUAGGAAUUGCUGUGAUAUGCGUUGUGCUUUUGAGUAUGUGAUGAGUGAGAAUAUUUGAUUGGAAUCCUUUAGGGGAUUUGAGUAGUGGAGUAAUCUAGGGAAGAUACCUAGAUGAGUACUGUAGUACUUGGAGAAAGAAUAGUUAGAGCCCGCGAGGGGAAGAGUUGCAGAGUUCGGUGGUACUUCCGAGGAUGAGCAGAGCAAGCGGAGUUAUCACCCAGAGUGAGUCAUAUAUAUUCUUCGAUGCUCGAAUGCUGCUUGCUUCGUGCUUUGUGGAACUCUCGAUGAUGGGAGUCAGCUACCAAGCGAAUAUGACGAUAUUCAGGAGGUAGAUGGCUGGCAUCAUUAGGAGCUCUUCAGCAGCUGAUGGCAGAGAAGUGUGGGAAUCUAAGAAGAGCCUAGGGAGUAACCUUAGCCAGAUGAGUGCACUGGCAGGGUAGAGAAUUUCGCUGGGGAGCGAGCGCGCGAUGGAAUUGGUGAACGAGAAGGUCGAGCAGCUACUUAGGAGCUCCGGGAUAGUCCGUGUGGAAAGUAUGGGUAGAUGUGGAAGGUAGUAUGGGCCCGUACUACUGAAAGCAGAGGACCCAUACUUGAUACAGGGAGUAUUCUGAAGAUUCUAAUGAGCGCAUUAAGGAGUGAUGUAUGGUUCGAGUACCAUACAUCAGAGCAGAUUGAGGAGUGAUGUUAUGGUUCGAGUACCAUACAUUGGAGCGGAUUGAGGAGUGAUGUUAUGGUUGAGUACCAUACAUCGGAGCAGAUUGAGGAGUGAUGAUAUGGUUGAGUACCAUACAUCGGAGCAGAUUGAGGAGUGAUGUUAUGGUUCGAGUAUCAUACAUCGGAGCAGAUGGAGGAGUGAUGCUAUGGUUCGGGUACCAUACACCGGAGCAUAUUGAGAAGAGAUGUCAUGGGAUGAGUACCAUGGUUCGUAGUGAAUGAUGCUUGUGAUUCUCUGGUUAUCCGGUCACGAUUGAUGAGGUAGAGAUUGGACGCUAUGGGUUUUAGGCCUGUAGGCCAUGAUUGAAUUUGGAGAGGCGUCCCUCGAGAGGGAAGUCGAGAGCCUAUCAGAGUAUUUUGGUAAGGAGUUAGAGGGAGAGGAGAAUUUCGGUCUGAGUUGAGCAAUCAGUCGAUAGAGGAGAGGUCACCUUCUAUGUGAGUGGUGCUAUUUAUGUUCGUGUGCGGAACAUGAAAGGCCUGAUGUUUUAGUUUUGGGUUUGGGGGUAAACCCUGCAGGUCGUUAUUGAUGAUGAUUUCUUCCAGAGUAUCAGGUAGCAUGUGUGCCGCGAGGCAGUGAUUUGUCAUGAGCAGAUAGUCAGUUGGGACUGAGAUAGUCGAGGACCACACUACACCUAUUUGAGUAUAGUAGGAUGUAUUAUAGUGGUAUCAGUGGGGAGUUCAGUCGAGUUUAGCAGUGCAGAGAGUUUUCUAUCUAUGUUGGGUGUUGAAUAUGGGAGUGGGUCCCUGUUCUUGGGAUGAUCCCGGUGUUGGAGCGAUGUUUGAUGAGUUGAGGUGAGGGGUACGAUGAUUUUGUGGUUCGGUCUAUGAGCCAGGGAUGUUAUUGAGCAGUUGAGUUGUUUGGUACUUGAUUGGUACGAGAUUUGGAACGACUAGAGGCAGUCGUGGCGAAAAGUUCUUGAGGAGUUCAUCUGAGGAUCAGAGUUAUGAGAUCGAUUAAUUUCCUUAAAGGGGAUUAUCGGGUGUUGCGUAGCACUUUCCAGGGGCAGGUGCGUUAUUGCUGGUGGAAAUAGUUCGUGAGGUUGUUGAUGUGUCAGAUAGUGAUGGUUCGAACCCUAAGUGGGGGAGAACUGGGUGGUUUAUUGAGAGAACCAGAGAUUGGUGCAAGGAGCGGUUAGGGGUUGGAUGCAGAACCUGCGGCUUGAAUUCAUGAGAUCAGGGUCAUGGGUGAUUAAGGAAGGUGCAGGGCGAGAUAAUGCAUGUGAUAUAUGUCUAAGAGAAGGAUGGGUGUCUCCACGGCGGGUGGUCAACGAUCAGGAAUCUGAUGGUGGUCAGAGUCGUCUCAAGUGGAAGGCUCGUAAUGAUGGUAUGGGCAGUUGAGAACUUCUGGGUUGAGAUAUGGGUAGCCGAUUAUCGAGUAGCCAAUUCCCGGGCUAGGAUGUGUAUUCUUGCUUGAAUUUUGAGUGGUAGUGGAAAGGGUUUCGGAGGAUCAUCAGUGUGUUCUGAAGGGUUAGCGCCUUCCUUGUAUUCCAAUUGAGUGUUUGGAUGCACUGAAGUUGCGCAUCGUGUGAUAUCAGAAAUUAUUAUGGGAUUCAGAGGAAAUGUAUUGUCGUGAGUGUAUGGUAUUGGGAGUAAGGGAAUCAGUGGUUGUGGCAGGAUCUUGUGAUGUUCUGUUGGGAUAUUCUGAGGUAUCCGGGUAUGAUACCUUUAUUUCGGAGUUACUCGUAAAUCUUGAGUUGAAACGAUUUGUGGUGUAUCAGGUAUCUACGGAUCUAGUGGGAGCCCUUCGAGUAUGGGCAUCCAGGGAGAUUAUUAAGAGAAUGGAACUUCGCAAGGGUGGGCAUUUUGAUAUGUCGAUUGCUUCCAGAGUCUGGAAUGUGUAUUCGAGCCGAGUAUGGGUAGCUACCUGUGAUAGUCUGCGGAGCAUGAGCUAGUGGAGUCAGAGGGUGUUGUGAUACUGCGGGGAGCCGUAGUACUCACUAGUCAGAGGGUGUUGUGAUACUGCGGGGAGCCGUAGUACUCACUAGUCAGAGGGUGUUGUGAUACUGCGGGGAGCCGUAGUACUCACUAGUCAGAGGGUGUUGUGAUGCUGCGGGGAGCCGUAGUACUCACUAGUCAGAGGGUGUUGUGAUGCUGCGGGGAGCCGUAGUACUCACUAGUCAGAGGGUGUUGUGAUGCUGCGGGGAGCCGUAGUACUCACUAGUCAGAGGGUGUUGUGAUGCUGCGGGGAGCCGUAGUACUCACUAGUCAGAGGGUGUUGUGAUACUGCGGGGAGCCGUAGUACUCAGGAGUCAGAGGGUGUUGUGAUACUGCGGGGAGCCGUAGUACUCACUAGUCAGAGGGUGUUGUGAUACUGCGGGGAGCCGUAGUACUCACGAGUCAGAGGGUGUUGUGAUACUGCGGGGAGCCGUAGUACUCACUAGUCAGAGGGUGUUGUGAUACUGCGGGGAGCCGUAGUACUCACGAGUCAGAGGGUGUUGUGAUACUGCGGGGAGCCGUAGUACUCACUAUUCUGAGGGUGUUGUGAUACUGCAUGGAGCCGUAGUACUCACGAGUCAGAGGGUGUUGUGAUACUGCGGGGAGCCGUAGUACUCACUAGUCAGAGGGUGUUGUGAUACUGCGGGGAGCCGUAGUACUCACUAGUCAGAGGGUGUUGUGAUACUGCGGGGAGUCGUAGUACUCACUAGUCAGAGGGUGUUGUGAUACUGCGGGGAGCCGUAGUACUCACUAUUCAGAGGGUGUUGUGAUACUGCGGGGAGCCGUAGUACUCACUAGUCAGAGGGUGUUGUGAUACUGCGGGGAGCCGUAGUACUCACUAGUCAGAGGGUGUUGUGAUACUGCGGGGAGCCAUAGUACUCACUAGUCAGAGGGUGUUGUGAUACUGCGGGGAGCCGUAGUACUCACUAGUCAGAGGGUGUUGUGAUACUGCGGGGAGCCGUAGUACUCACUAGUCAGAGGGUGUUGUGAUACUGCGGGGAGCCGUAGUACUCACUAGUCAGAGGGUGUUGUGAUACUGCGGGGAGCCGUAGUACUCACUAGUCAGAGGGUGUUGUGAUACUGCGGGGAGCCGUAGUACUCACUAUUCAGAGGGUGUUGUGAUACUGCGUGGAGUCGCAGUACUCACUAGAUGGCAAGAGAAUGUGAUGUUGGAAUGUUUUCCGAGCAGUGUAUGAAGUGGAAGAUUUUUGGGUUUGAGUAGCCCUAGUAUUGAGUCUUUGGAGCCUGGAUGUUGAAUCGGGGGCGAGACUGGGGUCUCCGUCUCUGUCGGGAGAUGCGGUGAGAUGCGCAAGGGAUAUGCGCAGCAGAAACCAGAGAUCAGGGCUGAGACGAUCCUCGAUUGGAUCGUAUUCUUCUCGCAUGAGGAAACGAGGAUUUCGUGACUUGCGUGUCACUGGGCAAGGAGAGUGGUCACGGGGAAAAGGUUAGUGAGAUGUUUGGAUCAUGUUAUGGGAGACCUUUGGAGGCUCAGCUGUGGAGUCAAAAGCUGACCUGGUGCUUAGUCUCGAAGAGGGAUAUGAGAAAUGAGCUAGAGCUUAUCAUGAGGUUGUCUAAGGACACCCCAGAGCGAGUGAGCGAUUCAGACGCUCGAAGUCAUGCUUCGGGCAUGUGUAUUAGAUUUCGGAGGAAGCUGCGGCACGUAAUUAUCCUUGGUUGAGUUGUCCUAUAUCAACAGCCAUCAUUAGUGCAUUGGUAUGCCGCCCUUUGAGCUGUUGUAUAGGAGGUGGUGUCGGACCCUCAUUUGCUGAGGAGAGGUAACGCAUGGACCCGAGAGUCCUUGCGAGCAGAUCCAGAGCAUGUGCGAUACAUGGAGUAGUGACAAGGUUGUCAAGUGGAUUUCUCUAGGUAAGGGAAGAGAAAGGUAUGUAACCCCAUAGGGGGGGGGGAAGUGUUGGUUCACGGAAGUGAAGGUAGUAGUGCGAAUGGAUGAUUUAGAGUAUGAGGGUUGAACGUGGUGUCCGUUACAGUGGUAUGGAAUGACAUCGUGAUGAGAUGUCUGCUGAGGACGCGGAAGGGAUUCCACGGGUGUAGAGCCAGGAGGCUCGGAAGGGAUCCAGGGAGAGAAUCCUGGACUCUCAGUGUGAUUCUGAUCAGGGUAUUGGGUAUGUAUCAGUGGUUCAUCCUGGGGGGAUGUUUGAGGAUAUCAUCAGUGUAUCGGGUCUUCCAACCUGUGGGUGUUGGGGCUAGUUCAGCAUGUGUAUGUGAUUGCAAGAGGAGAACUCGUGAGAGUUUCUCUGAGAGUGAGAAUGGGUCUCUCAGUCGUUCCGGAAUGGAUAGAGUGGGUUUUGCAUCGGGGAUCCGGUGGUUCAUGGUUUCCUAACCCUUAUGGGUCGAGUGAUCGUUGAGAUUUAGAGCAGAGUUGCAUCUUGGGUAAUUCUCGGUUAUUGAGAGUGAUGAUCAGGGGUACAGUCGAUGCUCGGUUCGAGAUGGUGAUCAGGACACCGUGAAGGAGGGAGAAAGUAUGUUCGAGUUUCGAUAUUUAUGCCUUAAGAGACCUGGGCCGGUUAAGGCCCGGUGGAGCGUUGUGGGAAUACCCUUGGAGUUGAGUUGCUGUAGGCUUCGAGGGCGAAGCCUAAUAUAAGUGGGGGAGAAUUGUAACAUCCCGGAAUAGCAAGAGUAGAGUUGAAGGGCUAAAAGUGUUAUUUGGGAAAGAGCGACUCGGCGAGUCCAUGGAUGGACUCGGCGAGUAGAGUCGCGGCUUGGUCGCGUGUUAAGUAGCCGACUCGGCGAGUCGAUGAGAUGGACUCGGCGAGUAGGCGCUGAGUGGAGAAAGCCCUAAUUCUCGGGGUUGAGCCCUAUUUAAAGAACAUUAUAUCCUUCCCCCAGCCUCUUUAUUCCCUCUUGAAGUCCAGAAACCCUAGAAAGUGUGAUUGAAGAAGAUUGGAGUGUAUUUGGAGCAUUGGAGGAGUUUGUUGAAGGAAUCUUGUGAGAUUGAAGGCUUGGGGCAAGGGGCUUUGCUUGGAUUCGAAUUUCAUUGCAGUUGGGGCGUCCAUUGGAGGUAACAUCUCGUUCUUGGAUUGAUUGUAUGUUGUUUCUUCAUUUUGGGGUUUGUGGGAUCUAGUCUAUGGGUGAAAUUGGAAGUCUAGAGGUUAGAUCUGAGGUUGCUACCUCAGAUCUGAAAUGGAGAAGAAUCAGAGAGCAUGAAAGUCCCUGUGUUGGACUGUUUAGUGAAGCUUGCAUGUCCCAAACCCUAGUUAUAAGUGAAUAAGGCCUAGAUCUCUUUGGAUUCACGUAAAGUUUGCCACUUUACGUGAUGGAUGAGUUGUAUGAGACUAGACCUAUGUUUUGGAUCAUUUGCAUGGCCUGGAAUGCUUCUGAGUGGAUUCAGACCGGUGGUACUCGGCGAGUCACAUGAGUGGACUCGACGAGUUGCUUGAAGAUGAGCUGGAACUCGGCGAGUUGGAAGAACAACUCGACGAGUUGGAUGAAGAUGGCCUGGAACUCGGCGAGUUGUAUGAACAACUCGGCGAGUAGGUUGAUGAUAGUCUUAGACUCGGCGAGUCUGUUCUUGGACUCGGCGAGUCUUGUCGAAGAGUCCCGAUAUUCCCUGGUUGAGUCGAGAAUCGGUGAGUCAAGGGAUGACUCGGUGAGUUGUGUGCGAGUGGACUCAGAGUUGUUGGACUCGGCGAGUCUCGGAGUGACUCGGCGAGUUAGGUCGCGGAUUGAGUGAAGUUCUGAUUAUAGGAACUCGGCGAGUCAUAGGGUUGACUCGGCGAGUAGGGUCAGUCAGGGGUUGACUUUGACUGAGGACUUUGAUUUUGACCAAGGGUUGACCGUUGACUUUUAGGGUUUGGUCAGCGAUGUGGCCUUUGGGCCAAGAGAGGGGUAAAAUAUUCUUUUACCCUUAAGAAGGUGCAUUGAGAGGAUUGAUUCUAGUCUCGAGAGUUACAGUCAUGAGAGUUUUGCCUUACGUGUUAGGCGGUGGCGAGUUCGAGAUUCAAGUAUGGAGAUAUCUGCUUUCUGCUUGCCAGGUGAGUCUUCUCACUAUACUUUACCUUGAGUAGGUAACCAGAGUUAUGUGACAGAGUAUUUGUAUGCUAUGUAUGUUAUGUGUUGUACUGCAUUAUUUCUAUGUGAUUUAUGUUGUGCAUGUUUGCAGAGUUGGAACCGAAGGGUUCCUAGAGUUAGAACCGGAAGGUUCACAGAGUUAGAACCUGAGGGUUCACAGAGUUUGGGUGCACGGACCCAUAGAGUUAUAGCCUCGAGUGGCUUAUAUGUGUUAUGUGUGUGGUAUUUUGGGGAACUCACUAAGCUUCGUGCUUACAGUGUUUUGUGUUAUGUUGUUUUCAGGUUUCUUUCAGUAUCACGGGACGGCACCGGCUUGAUUGUACACAUCAGAGAAAGAGUCAUAUUUUGGAGGAUCCUGGUUUUCUAUGCAAGUGAAAAUGAAGCUAUGUUUUGUAAUUCAAUUAUGAAUGAGAUUUUAAACAAGUGUUUUAACAUUAAAAUGAUUAUUUUAAAUG